AGUCAAGUGAAUAAGUGCAUCAGGCGGAUGCCUUGGCGAUGAUAGGCGACGAAGGACGUGUAAGCCUGCGAAAAGCGCGGGGGAGCUGGCAAUAAAGCUAUGAUUCCGCGAUGUCCGAAUGGGGAAACCCACUGCAUUCUGUGCAGUAUCCUAAGUUGAAUACAUAGGCUUAGAGAAGCGAACCCGGAGAACUGAACCAUCUAAGUACCCGGAGGAAAAGAAAUCAACCGAGAUUCCGCAAGUAGUGGCGAGCGAACGCGGAGGAGCCUGUACGUAAUAACUGUCGAGAUAGAAGAACAAGCUGGGAAGCUUGACCAUAGCGGGUGACAGUCCCGUAUUCGAAAUCUCAACAGCGGUACUAAGCGUACGAAAAGUAGGGCGGGACACGUGAAAUCCUGUCUGAAUAUGGGGGGACCAUCCUCCAAGGCUAAAUACUCAUCAUCGACCGAUAGUGAACCAGUACCGUGAGGGAAAGGCGAAAAGAACCCCGGGAGGGGAGUGAAACAGAACCUGAAACCUGAUGCAUACAAACAGUGGGAGCGCCCUAGUGGUGUGACUGCGUACCUUUUGUAUAAUGGGUCAACGACUUACAUUCAGUAGCGAGCUUAACCGGAUAGGGGAGGCGUAGGGAAACCGAGUCUUAAUAGGGCGAUGAGUUGCUGGGUGUAGACCCGAAACCGAGUGAUCUAUCCAUGGUCAGGUUGAAGGUGCCGUAACAGGUACUGGAGGACCGAACCCACGCAUGUUGCAAAAUGCGGGGAUGAGCUGUGGGUAGGGGUGAAAGGCUAAACAAACUCGGAGAUAGCUGGUUCUCCCCGAAAACUAUUUAGGUAGUGCCUCGAGCAAGACACUGAUGGGGGUAAAGCACUGUUAUGGCUAGGGGGUUAUUGCAACUUACCAACCCAUGGCAAACUCAGAAUACCAUCAAGUGGUUCCUCGGGAGACAGACAGCGGGUGCUAACGUCCGUUGUCAAGAGGGAAACAACCCAGACCGCCAGCUAAGGUCCCAAAUGAUAGAUUAAGUGGUAAACGAAGUGGGAAGGCACAGACAGCCAGGAUGUUGGCUUAGAAGCAGCCAUCAUUUAAAGAAAGCGUAAUAGCUCACUGGUCGAGUCGUCCUGCGCGGAAGAUGUAACGGGGCUCAAAUCUAUAACCGAAGCUGCGGAUGCCGGUUUACCGGCAUGGUAGGGGAGCGUUCUGUAGGCUGAUGAAGGUGCAUUGUAAAGUGUGCUGGAGGUAUCAGAAGUGCGAAUGUUGACAUGAGUAGCGAUAAAGCGGGUGAAAAGCCCGCUCGCCGAAAGCCCAAGGUUUCCUACGCAACGUUCAUCGGCGUAGGGUGAGUCGGCCCCUAAGGCGAGGCAGAAAUGCGUAGUCGAUGGGAAACAGGUUAAUAUUCCUGUACUUGAUUCAAAUGCGAUGUGGGGACGGAGAAGGUUAGGUUGGCAAGCUGUUGGAAUAGCUUGUUUAAGCCGGUAGGUGGAAGACUUAGGCAAAUCCGGGUUUUCUUAACACCGAGAAGUGAUGACGAGUGUCUACGGACACGAAGCAACCGAUACCACGCUUCCAGGAAAAGCCACUAAGCUUCAGUUUGAAUCGAACCGUACCGCAAACCGACACAGGUGGGCAGGAUGAGAAUUCUAAGGCGCUUGAGAGAACUCGGGAGAAGGAACUCGGCAAAUUGAUACCGUAACUUCGGGAGAAGGUAUGCCCUCUAAGGUUAAGGACUUGCUCCGUAAGCCCCGGAGGGUCGCAGAGAAUAGGUGGCUGCGACUGUUUAUUAAAAACACAGCACUCUGCCAACACGAAAGUGGACGUAUAGGGUGUGACGCCUGCCCGGUGCCGGAAGGUUAAUUGAAGAUGUGCAAGCAUCGGAUCGAAGCCCCGGUAAACGGCGGCCGUAACUAUAACGGUCCUAAGGUAGCGAAAUUCCUUGUCGGGUAAGUUCCGACCCGCACGAAUGGCGUAACGAUGGCCACACUGUCUCCUCCCGAGACUCAGCGAAGUUGAAGUGGUUGUGAAGAUGCAAUCUACCCGCUGCUAGACGGAAAGACCCCGUGAACCUUUACUGUAGCUUUGCAUUGGACUUUGAAGUCACUUGUGUAGGAUAGGUGGGAGGCUUGGAAGCAGAGACGCCAGUCUCUGUGGAGUCGUCCUUGAAAUACCACCCUGGUGUCUUUGAGGUUCUAACCCAGACCCGUCAUCCGGGUCGGGGACCGUGCAUGGUAGGCAGUUUGACUGGGGCGGUCUCCUCCCAAAGCGUAACGGAGGAGUUCGAAGGUUACCUAGGUCCGGUCGGAAAUCGGACUGAUAGUGCAAUGGCAAAAGGUAGCUUAACUGCGAGACCGACAAGUCGGGCAGGUGCGAAAGCAGGACAUAGUGAUCCGGUGGUUCUGUAUGGAAGGGCCAUCGCUCAACGGAUAAAAGGUACUCCGGGGAUAACAGGCUGAUUCCGCCCAAGAGUUCAUAUCGACGGCGGAGUUUGGCACCUCGAUGUCGGCUCAUCACAUCCUGGGGCUGUAGUCGGUCCCAAGGGUAUGGCUGUUCGCCAUUUAAAGUGGUACGUGAGCUGGGUUUAAAACGUCGUGAGACAGUUUGGUCCCUAUCUGCAGUGGGCGUUGGAAGUUUGACGGGGGCUGCUCCUAGUACGAGAGGACCGGAGUGGACGAACCUCUGGUGUACCGGUUGUAACGCCAGUUGCAUAGCCGGGUAGCUAAGUUCGGAAGAGAUAAGCGCUGAAAGCAUCUAAGCGCGAAACUCGCCUGAAGAUGAGACUUCCCUUGCGGUUUAACCGCACUAAAGGGUCGUUCGAGACCAGGACGUUGAUAGGUGGGGUGUGGAAGCGCGGUAACGCGUGAAGCUAACCCAUACUAAUUGCCCGUGAGGCUUGACUCU
This 2892-nucleotide ribosomal RNA is filed under the name Neisseria gonorrhoeae. RNAcentral describes it as "23S ribosomal RNA". It matches the Rfam family "Bacterial large subunit ribosomal RNA". Lineage: Bacteria; Pseudomonadati; Pseudomonadota; Betaproteobacteria; Neisseriales; Neisseriaceae. The record is from RNAcentral.